GAUGAACGCUAGCGGGAGGCCUAACACAUGCAAGCCGAGCGGUAUUUGUUCUUCGGAACAGAGAGAGCGGCGCACGGGUGCGGAACACGUGUGCAACCUGCCUUUAUCUGGGGGAUAGCCUUUCGAAAGGAAGAUUAAUACCCCAUAAUAUAUUGAGAGGCAUCAUUUGAUAUUGAAAACUCCGGUGGAUAGAGAUGGGCACGCGCAAGAUUAGAUAGUUGGUGAGGUAACGGCUCACCAAGUCAAUGAUCUUUAGGGGGCCUGAGAGGGUGAUCCCCCACACUGGUACUGAGACACGGACCAGACUCCUACGGGAGGCAGCAGUGAGGAAUAUUGGACAAUGGGUUAGCGCCUGAUCCAGCCAUCCCGCGUGAAGGACGACGGCCCUAUGGGUUGUAAACUUCUUUUGUAUAGGGAUAAACCUACUCUCGUGAGAGUAGCUGAAGGUACUAUACGAAUAAGCACCGGCUAACUCCGUG
Molecule: ribosomal RNA, 479 nt
Filed under: uncultured bacterium
Lineage: Bacteria
Description: partial 16S ribosomal RNA
Rfam family: Bacterial small subunit ribosomal RNA
Source: RNAcentral